UGGGGAAUUUUGGACCAUGGGGGCAACCCUGAUCCAGCCAUUCCGCGUGAGUGAAGAAGGCCUUCGGGUUGUAAAGCUCUUUUGUCCGGAACGAACCGGUUAGGUCUAAUACGCCUGACUACUGCCGGUACCGGACGAAUAAGCACCGGCUAACUACGUGCCAGCAGCCGCGGUAAUACGUAGGGUGCGAGCGUUAAUCGGAAUUACUGGGCGUAAAGCGUGCGCAGGCGGUUUUGUAAGCCAGAUGUGAAAUCCCCGGGCUUAACCUGGGAACUGCAUUUGGGACUGCAAGGCUUGAGUGCGGCAGAGGAGACUAGAAUUCCUGGUGUAGCAGUGAAAUGCGUAGAUAUCAGGAGGAAUACCGAUGGCGAAGGCAGGUCUCUGGGCUGACACUGACGCUCAUGCACGAAAGCGUGGGGAGCAAA
RNAcentral lists this ribosomal RNA (425 nucleotides) under uncultured bacterium. Its description in RNAcentral is "bacterial SSU rRNA". It matches the Rfam family "Bacterial small subunit ribosomal RNA", at positions 355 to 772 of the family's 1533-position model. The record is from RNAcentral.